Molecule: ribosomal RNA, 416 nt
Filed under: uncultured bacterium
Lineage: Bacteria
Description: partial 16S ribosomal RNA
Rfam family: Bacterial small subunit ribosomal RNA
Source: RNAcentral
UGGGGAAUUUUGGACGAAUUGGGGGGCAACCCGUCGAUCCAGCAAUGCCGCGUGUGUGAAGAAGGCCUUCGGGUUGUAAAGCACUUUUGUCCGGAAAGAAAACGCCGUGGUUAAUACCCGUGGGCGGAUGACGGUACCGGAAGAAUAAGCACCGGCUAACUACGUGCCAGCAGCCGCGGUAAUACGUAGGGGUGCAAGCGUUAAUCGGAAUUACUGGGCGUAAAGCGUGCGCAGGCGGUUUUGCUAAGACCGAUGUGAAAUCCCCGGGCUCAACCUGGGAACUGAUUGGUGACUGGCAGGGCUAGAGUAUGGCAGAGGGGGGUGAAAUUCCACGUGUAGCAGUGAAAUGCGUAGAGAUGUGGAGGAAUACCGAUGGCGAAGGCAGCCCCCUGGGCCAAUACUGACGCUCAUGCACG